AGGGCUAUAGCUCAGUUGGUAGAGCAACUCGUUUACACCG
This 40-nucleotide transfer RNA is filed under the name Peltanthera floribunda. RNAcentral describes it as "partial transfer RNA-Val". The record is from RNAcentral. Lineage: Eukaryota; Viridiplantae; Streptophyta; Magnoliopsida; Lamiales.